GGGCCCGCGGCCUAUCAGCUUGUUGGUGGGGUAAUGGCCUACCAAGGCGACGACGGGUAGCCGACCUGAGAGGGUGACCGGCCACACUGGGACUGAGACACGGCCCAGACUCCUACGGGAGGCAGCAGUGGGGAAUAUUGCACAAUGGGCGGAAGCCUGAUGCAGCGACGCCGCGUGAGGGAUGAAGGCCUUCGGGUUGUAAACCUCUUUCAGCAGGGACGAAGCGUGAGUGACGGUACCUGCAGAAGAAGCACCGGCUAACUACGUGCCAGCAGCCGCGGUAAUACGUAGGGUGCGAGCGUUGUCCGGAAUUACUGGGCGUAAAGAGUUCGUAGGCGGUUUGUCGCGUCGUUUGUGAAAACCCGGGGCUCAACUUCGGGCUUGCAGGCGAUACGGGCAGACUUGAGUGUUUCAGGGGAGACUGGAAUUCCUGGUGUAGCGGUGAAAUGCGCAGAUAUCAGGAGGAACACCGGUGGCGAAGGCGGGUCUCUGGGAAACAACUGACGCUGAGGAACGAAAGCGUGGGUAGCAAACAGGAUUAGAUACCCUGGUAGUCCACGCCGUAAACGGUGGGCGCUAGGUGUGGGUUCCUUC
Molecule: ribosomal RNA, 594 nt
Filed under: Rhodococcoides fascians
Lineage: Bacteria; Bacillati; Actinomycetota; Actinomycetes; Mycobacteriales; Nocardiaceae
Description: bacterial SSU rRNA
Rfam family: Bacterial small subunit ribosomal RNA
Source: RNAcentral